GACGAACGCUGGCGGCGUGCUUAACACAUGCAAGUCGAACGGUGAAGCGCCUUCCUUUUUGGUGGGUGUGGAUGAGUGGCGAACGGGUGAGUAACACGUGAGUAACCUGCCCCCUUCUUCGGGAUAACCGCAUGAAAGUGUGGCUAAUACGGGAUAUUCUGGGUCUGUCGCAUGAUGGGUCUGGGAAAGAUAUUGUUUCGGUGGGGGAUGGGCUCGCGGCCUAUCAGCUUGUUGGUGGGGUGAUGGCCUACCAAGGCGGUGACGGGUAGCCGGCCUGAGAGGGUGGACGGUCACACUGGGACUGAGACACGGCCCAGACUCCUACGGGAGGCAGCAGUGGGGAAUAUUGCACAAUGGGCGCAAGCCUGAUGCAGCGACGCCGCGUGAGGGAUGGAGGCCUUCGGGUUGUGAACCUCUUUCGCCAGUGAAGCAGGCCUGCCUCGUUUGUGGGUGGGUUGACGGUAGCUGGAUAAGAAGCGCCGGCUAACUACGUG
Molecule: ribosomal RNA, 494 nt
Filed under: uncultured bacterium
Lineage: Bacteria
Description: partial 16S ribosomal RNA
Rfam family: Bacterial small subunit ribosomal RNA
Source: RNAcentral